This 997-nucleotide unclassified non-coding RNA is filed under the name Hevea brasiliensis (rubber tree). The record is from RNAcentral. Lineage: Eukaryota; Viridiplantae; Streptophyta; Magnoliopsida; Malpighiales; Euphorbiaceae.
UUUUUUUUUUUUUUGAGAAAAAUAGCAGGUUUGAGCAGUAUGGAACGGGAUCUACCCCAAUUUGAUUUCAAUCUGAUUCAAGAAGAGAAAAAGAAAGCAAUCCUAUAAAAUGUUUGAUUUUUAUUUGAGUUAAUGUUAGUGAAUAAAUACAGAAAACACAUCCUUCAACUAUUAUUACUCUUUCUAGUCUACCCUCAAAAAGCCCUCAGGACUAGUGUGGCAGGAUGCCAACGAGCUAUCGUAUGCCAAGUCUCCCCCAUACAGCCCCAUCUUUCAUUGUUUGAUUACUACAACAAAGAGAAAAUGCUGAGAUCAAUGCUACCUUAUUGGAAUUAAAUGGCAUUAGUUUUUUCUUUUAAGCAAGGUUGAACGAAGUGCUCAUCUUCUUUUGGUAGCCUCACUUGCCAGCAAUUUUUUUUCUUUUCCUUUAUCUGCUUCAUUGCCAGCUGAUUUAUGCUCUUUCCACUCGAUUUCGCAGCACACAACUCUUUAGAAAAUGACUGCAAGCCAGCUUUCAUUCUCAUCUAUAAGUACUACACAUUAAUGCUAAUCAAGAGCACCAAACAUCUAAGAAGAAUAAUAAAAUUAACCUGCUGAAUUCAGUUAAGCAUAUAACAAGAAGGAUAAGAAAAAUAUACUAUUAUAUCUUUGCAAAUAUCUUAUGUAAAAUGGGAGAAAGAAAUUACUUGAUCAGCAACAUCCCAGCAGCCAGAGUAGGACCAUUGGGGAGAGAGGAUGGGAGAAAGAAAUUACUUGAUCAGCAACAUCCCAGCAGCCAGAGUAGGACCAUUGGGGAGAGAGGAUGGGAGAAAAAGAAGUACACUUCUUUUUUCUUUGACUUUUGUUGGAAGCUGUUGGCUGCAUUGUGUUGGAAAGCUAUAAGUGAUUAGAGAACAGCAAAAGGAAAACAUGUCACAUAUCAGGAGAUAUUAAGGGUGUAUGGAUGUUAUCUUAGGAACUGAUUUUGUUUCUUAUAUAAAUAACUCACAUAUUUUAC